RNAcentral lists this non-coding RNA (91 nucleotides) under Streptomyces sp. RNAcentral describes it as "ZTP sequence". It matches the Rfam family "ZMP/ZTP riboswitch aptamer (pfl RNA motif)". From Rfam's summary of the family: Previously known as pfl RNA. ZMP is also known as AICAR. The record is from RNAcentral. Lineage: Bacteria; Bacillati; Actinomycetota; Actinomycetes; Kitasatosporales; Streptomycetaceae.
UCUGCAGGCCGUGACUGGCGUCUGAAGAUGGAUCACCAUCGGGGAGCGGCCUCGUCCACGUGACGUCAUGCCGUACGCCUGGGCUCUUGUG